Long non-coding RNA from Brienomyrus brachyistius, 1183 nucleotides. RefSeq lists it as uncharacterized. NCBI's taxonomy places the organism in Eukaryota, Metazoa, Chordata, Actinopteri, Osteoglossiformes, Mormyridae. The transcript is spliced from 8 exons. The record is from RefSeq and is a predicted model, not a curated record.
UUAUGUGCCGUAAAGUGUGCGACUGUCGUGCCUAUAAAUGUUGAACAGAACGUUAGCAGGGUCCCAUUUUGAUAAAGUCAGGCGGAGUGGUUGAUGCAAAUUCUGAAGCGAAAUACGAUGCCUUGGUGGCACCAGAGACCACAUAUCCAGAGCGCAGGAAGAAGGCCCAAGUUGGGGAGAUAUCAGCUGACCAAAUGGUUUCCUGAAUGAAGUUCACAUGGCUAUGUUUGAACCUCGUGAGGAAAAGGAUCAUUCAGCGAUGGUUGAGCAUUUCCUGUUUCUGGGUCUCGUGAAGAAUCCUUACAGGUGUUUGGACGAUGAAACUGACACACUAGCCAAUCGUUUUAUAGGCUUCAUGUCUAUAUAUGACAUGGUGGCCAGUCUUCACUAAUUGCUCAUUCCAUCAGUAGGGGCAGGUCGUGAAGGUUAAAUCGGCAGAGCAAUGGCAGUUCAUUUGGAGUGUUUUAAGAGGAGCGAGUCAGGAAACGUUUUCCUCCACCAGCAUCGCUUAGUGACCUGGCCAAUUGUUCUGCAAGAGGAACAUCUUCAAAUCUCAGUCCUCUGUGCAGGGCCUGUAUCUGUCAAUCGCAAGAAGAGCUGAUGCUUUGUUGGAUGCAAAAGGAGACUACACUAUACUAAUACCUUAUUAUGGUGUAACACCAAGUGUUUCAGUUUCAUUGUCCAGCCCAUAAGCCUGGCAGGAUACCUGACACAUCCAGUUGGCAGGUUUGCUCUGUGCACAAAGGCUGAAGAAUGGUGAGUGGUCCGGCCGCAGUUCAGGGAUCACUUCAAAGAGGGAUCGCCAGGCUGUUCUGCUGGCAAUGUCUUACGCGGUGAUCCAACAUUUACUGCCCACAAGGACCUGAUAUAGAUUCUGGAAGGCCAUGGAGAGGUCAGCCGGCAACCACAACUCUUCCUUCUGGCUGGAGAUGUGCCAAGCUUACGGAACCGCGGAGUCGCUAAAAUCUUUGCCAUGCUGCACUUUGGUCAGGUUGUCUGCUGCCCCUGAGUCCAUAUUUUUUAUAAAUCUGCAUAAAAAAUUUUAGUAGGUUGUGCUUGGUAGCAUGGUGACCCAGUGUGGUGGAGAACUUUCUAUGCGCCUUUUUAAUCGGCAAUUGUCUGCUUUAAUAAUACAUGUAAUAUUUGUUAAUUCGAAGUGAAAUAAAGUCCCCUUUUCCAUUCA